This 253-nucleotide ribosomal RNA is filed under the name uncultured bacterium. RNAcentral's name for it is "partial 16S ribosomal RNA". It matches the Rfam family "Bacterial small subunit ribosomal RNA", at positions 524 to 776 of the family's 1533-position model. The record is from RNAcentral.
UACAGAGGGUGCAAACGUUGUUCGGAAUCACUGGGCAUAAAGCGUAUGUAGGCGGCUCCGUAAGUGUCGGGUGAAAUCCCACGGCCUACCCGUGGAACUGUUCGGCAUACUGCGGAGCUAGAGGAUGGUAGAGGAGAGCGGAACUCUUGGUGGAGCGGUGGAAUGCGUAGAUAUCAAGAGGAACACCGGUGGCGAAGGCGGCUCUCUGGUCCAUUACUGACGCUGAGGUACGAAAGCUAGGGGAGCAAACGGG